RNAcentral lists this non-coding RNA (29 nucleotides) under Bombyx mori (domestic silkworm). The record is from RNAcentral. Lineage: Eukaryota; Metazoa; Arthropoda; Insecta; Lepidoptera; Bombycidae.
UACGAAAACAAAAUCCCCAGCGGAAAAGA